RNAcentral lists this ribosomal RNA (497 nucleotides) under uncultured bacterium. RNAcentral describes it as "partial 16S ribosomal RNA". It matches the Rfam family "Bacterial small subunit ribosomal RNA", at positions 28 to 507 of the family's 1533-position model. The record is from RNAcentral.
GAUGAACGCUGGCGGCGUGCCUAAUACAUGCAAGUCGAGCGAACAGACGAGGAGCUUGCUCCUCUGAUGUUAGCGGCGGACGGGUGAGUAACACGUGGAUAACCUACCUAUAAGACUGGGAUAACUUCGGGAAACCGGAGCUAAUACCGGAUAACAUGUUGAACCGCAUGGUUCAACAGUGAAAGGCGGUCUUGCUGUCACUUAUAGAUGGAUCCGCGCCGCAUUAGCUAGUUGGUAAGGUAACGGCUUACCAAGGCAACGAUGCGUAGCCGACCUGAGAGGGUGAUCGGCCACACUGGAACUGAGACACGGUCCAGACUCCUACGGGAGGCAGCAGUAGGGAAUCUUCCGCAAUGGGCGAAAGCCUGACGGAGCAACGCCGCGUGAGUGAAGAAGGUCUUCGGACCGUAAAACUCUGUUAUUAGGGAAGAACAAAUGUGUAAGUAACUAUGCACGUCUUGACGGUACCUAAUCAGAAAGCCACGGCUAACUACGUG